RNAcentral lists this ribosomal RNA (827 nucleotides) under uncultured bacterium. RNAcentral describes it as "bacterial SSU rRNA". It matches the Rfam family "Bacterial small subunit ribosomal RNA", at positions 46 to 847 of the family's 1533-position model. The record is from RNAcentral.
GCUUAACACAUGCAAGUCGCACGAGAACGCUUCAGCUUGCUGAAGUAAGUAAAGUGGCGCACGGGUGAGUAACGCGUGGGUAAUCUACCCUCAAAUUGGGGAUAACCCGCCGAAAGGCGGGCUAAUACCGAAUGACAUCUUGAAGACUUAUGUUUUCAGGAUCAAAGGUGGCCUCUACAUGUAAGCUAUUGUUUGGGGAUGAGCCCGCGUACCAUUAGCUUGUUGGUAGGGUAAUGGCCUACCAAGGCUACGAUGGUCAGCUGGUCUGAGAGGAUGAUCAGCCACACUGGAACUGACACACGGUCCAGACUCCUACGGGAGGCAGCAGUGAGGAAUUUUGCGCAAUGGGGGAAACCCUGACGCAGCAACGCCGCGUGAGUGAUGAAGGCUUUCGGGUCGUAAAGCUCUGUCAAGUGGGAAGAACUCAUAUGGUGUUAAUAUCUCCAUAUGUUGACGGUACCACUGAAGGAAGCACCGGCUAACUCCGUGCCAGCAGCCGCGGUAAUACGGGGGGUGCGAGCGUUAUUCGGAAUUACUGGGCGUAAAGAGCGCGUAGGCGGUCUUUUAAGUCAGGUGUGAAAGCCCGGGGCUCAACCCCGGAAGUGCACUUGAAACUAAGAGACUUGAGUAUGGGAGAGGGAAGUGGAAUUCCUGGUGUAGCGGUGAAAUGCGUAGAUAUCAGAGGAACAUCAGUGGCGAAAGCGACUUCCUGGACCAAUACUGACGCUGAGGCGCGAAAGCGUGGGGAGCAAACAGGAUUAGAUACCCUGUAGUCCACGCAGUAAACGGUGAACACUAGUGUAGCGGGUAUUGACCCCUGCUGUGCC